GCUUACGGCCAUACCACCCUGAGCACGCCUGAUCUCGUCCGAUCUCGGAAGCUAAGCAGGGUCGGGCCUGGUUAGUACUUGGAUGGGAGACCGCCUGGGAAUACCAGGUGCUGUAAGCU
RNAcentral lists this ribosomal RNA (119 nucleotides) under Carassius auratus (goldfish). The record is from RNAcentral. Lineage: Eukaryota; Metazoa; Chordata; Actinopteri; Cypriniformes; Cyprinidae.